Non-coding RNA from Plectropomus leopardus (leopard coralgrouper), 2017 nucleotides. NCBI's taxonomy places the organism in Eukaryota, Metazoa, Chordata, Actinopteri, Perciformes, Serranidae. The record is from RefSeq and is a predicted model, not a curated record.
GAAGACACCUGUUUCAGCUUGACACUUUUUGGGGAGGGCUACUCUGAGGGUACAGACCCCGCACAGGGCCGACCCAACGCAAAGAUCUGCACUCAGGUCAUCGGAGCAGAGCCUGGGUAUGUAGCUACAGUUUCUGCUAUGGUGCAAGCAGCCGUAACGUUGCUGAAUGAACUGCACUCUCUCCCCAGGAGGGGAGGGGUGUACACACCAGGAGCUGCCUUCUAUAAAACCAGCCUCAUCGACCGCCUCCAUAACCACAGCAUCAAGUUCUCAGUCAGAAACUAGCCCUUUAACAGUGACACUACUGUAAAGAUCACGCCACCUUUCAGUUACAGUGUAAUGGUUUUGUAUUGAUGCUCACUAAAGAUGUUGGCCAACCUUUCAUCCAGUCAAUAUUACCACAUUUUAUGAGUGUCGCUGUAAAAUCGCUGAACCCUGCAUCUAUUGCUUGUUUGUUAAUUGGUUUAUUAAUAGUGACAGCUGGUAAAAUACAUACUAAAACCUCGAGAGUUUCAAUUUCCCCUUUUUUAAAACAUCAAAUAAAGUUAAACCAAACUUAUCAGGAAAAAUUAACCCUUGAACCAAAAUCUGAGUGACAAGAACUACUUAAAUUGUCAGACUUUUUUAAAAUUUGACUUUAUAAAGGGGAUGGGGGUUAUGACCUAUACUGCAGCCAGAUAACAGGAGAUUGAGACGUUUUGACUUCACAUCUGUGGCGCUAUCAUGUCAUCUGUCUUUGUCAACAUCUUACGUUUUAGUCAAAUUGGAGUGAAUUCAAAGAUCUCAGUCAACAUGUGAAUUUGUAAUUUAAAUGUAAAAAAUGAAAAAACCUUAUGUCAAUAUUCAAAGCACUCUAUUGCAAAAAAAUAUUAUUGAAAAGAAACUUUUAAAAGUACUGUGCAUUUGUUUUGUUUUAUAUUUUGAAUAUUGUUUAUAAUCAAUAAUGUAGUAAGUACUGUUAUGACACAUGAUAAAGCUCCUGUUCAGCUGCUUGACAAAGUCUCUGUCUAUGAUCCAUGUUUUCUAAUUUUUGUAUGUAAGAGACAAAUACCUCUAAGUGUUCUUACAAGCUGUGGGGAAAGGACAUUAUUUUCAGUUUUCUUAAAAAUGUAUUAUUGUCUCAGUAGAGUACCAGAACCACAACUGAAAAAAGUCCCCGGUAAAUGCACUAUUUACUGCUGAGUAAAACUGGUAAAGACCACAAGAGGCAUUUUUGACCCCUUUAAAAGAAAAUUAAGCAUUAUUAGUGGGAACCAAUAUAAUAGGGUAGAAAAGUCUCUAAGGACUGAGUGUUUUUGGCCUUUUCAUGUGACUUGUUGAGUACUUUCAGGUCUUUGAACUUAAUGUAUAAAGUUAAAUGCACAGAAGAAAAAUUUAAGAUUGUUUAUUGAUGGAUUUUUUGUGUACAUUUAACCAGGAACUGCAAUUCAGUACAAUUUUGAAGUAGUUGUGCUUUACUUGUGCAUUUAUUUAUUAAUAUAUUAUACUUAUUAUAGUUAUUAUACCUAUAAUACAAAUUGAAUAAAAUCAACAAAUGACUGAUGUAUUCCUAUGGAUAAAGAUAAGACUGCAUUAAUACCUUCUACAUUGGAGCAUGUAAUUUAAAAAAAAAUGCAAAGCAAAACAAACAAAAAAAACAAACAGUAUAAUACUAUUAUUAAGUCCCUUAAAAAUAAUGUACAUAUGAAUGCAUCUUUAAUUAUAAUUUAAUCGCUUACUAUACAGUAAGUAUGAUUGUGAAAUGGGCCAGUCUAGAUGAUGUAUACUUUUACUUUUUGUAUCUUACAUAUAUUUUGAUGAUAGUAUUGUUGUACUUUUACUGAAGUAAAAUUUAAUAUGCAAGACUUAUUUGUAAUAGAGCACUAAUACACUGCAGUUUAAAUAUGUGAGUAGUUCUAUCAGUCCAUUUUUAAAUUAAUUCAAUUUUUAGGAGGUGGAUAUGGUGAUCCUGAAGGUCAAAACAUGACAAAAUUUAAGAAAACUACAAAAUUUCACAAACACAAUAUUUUAUUAAACU